ACUGAUCGGCCACAUGGGACUGAGACACGGCCCAAACUCCUACGGGAGGCUGCAGUAGGGAAUCUUCCACAAUGGGCGAAAGCCUGAUGGAGCAACGCCGCGUGUGUGAUGAAGGCUUUCGGGUCGUAAAGCACUGUUGUAUGGGAAGAAAAGUUAAGGUAGGGAAUGACCUUAGCCUGACGGUACCAUACCAGAAAGGGACGGCUAAAUACGUGCCAGCAGCCGCGGUAAUACGUAUGUCCCGAGCGUUAUCCGGAUUUAUUGGGCGUAAAGCGAGCGCAGACGGUUGGUUAAGUCUGAUGUGAAAGCCCGGAGCUCAACUCCGGAAAGGCAUUGGAAACUGGUUAACUUGAGUGCAGUAGAGGUAAGUGGAACUCCAUGUGUAGCGGUGGAAUGCGUAGAUAUAUGGAAGAACACCAGCGGCGAAGGCGGCUUACUGGACUGUAACUGACGUUGAGGCUCGAAAGUGUGGGUAGCAAACAGGAUUAGAUACCCUGGUAGUCCACACCGUAAACGAUGAACACUAGGUGUUAGGAGGUUUCCGCCUCUUAGUGCCGAAGCUAACGCAUUAAGUGUUCCGCCUGGGGAGUACGACCGCAAGGUUGAAACUCAAAGGAAUUGACGGGGACCCGCACAAGCGGUGGAGCAUGUGGUUUAAUUCGAAGCAACGCGAAGAACCUUACCAGGUCUUGACAUCCUUUGAAGCUUUUAGAAAUAGAAGUGUUCUCUUCGGAGACAAAGUGACAGGUGGUGCAUGGUCGUCGUCAGCUCGUGUCGUGAGAUGUUGGGUUAAGUCCCGCAACGAGCGCAACCCUUAUUGUUAGUUGCCAGCAUUCAGAUGGGCACUCUAGCGAGACUGCCGGUGACAAACCGGAGGAAGGCGGGGACGACGUCAGAUCAUCAUGCCCCUUAUGACCUGGGCUACACACGUGCUACAAUGGCGUAUACAACGAGUUGCCAACCUGCGAAGGUGAGCUAAUCUCUUAAAGUACGUCUCAGUUCGGACUGCAGUCUGCAACUCGACUGCACGAAGUCGGAAUCGCUAGUAAUCGCGGAUCAGCACGCCGCGGUGAAUACGUUCCCGGGUCUUGUACACACCGCCCGUCACACCAUGGAAGUUUGUAAUGCCCAAAGCCGGUGGCCUAACCGUAAGGAGGGAACCGUCUAAGGCAGA
This 1174-nucleotide ribosomal RNA is filed under the name Leuconostoc carnosum. Its description in RNAcentral is "bacterial SSU rRNA". It matches the Rfam family "Bacterial small subunit ribosomal RNA", at positions 299 to 1466 of the family's 1533-position model. The record is from RNAcentral. Lineage: Bacteria; Bacillati; Bacillota; Bacilli; Lactobacillales; Lactobacillaceae.